This 274-nucleotide ribosomal RNA is filed under the name uncultured bacterium. RNAcentral describes it as "partial 16S ribosomal RNA". It matches the Rfam family "Bacterial small subunit ribosomal RNA", at positions 523 to 796 of the family's 1533-position model. The record is from RNAcentral.
AUACGGAGGGUGCAAGCGUUAAUCGGAAUUACUGGGCGUAAAGCGCCCGUAGGCGGCUUGUUAAGUCGGAUGUGAAAGCCCCGGGCUCAACCUGGGAACUGCAUUCGAUACUGGCAAGCUAGAGUAUAGUAGAGGCAAGUGGAAUUCCGGGUGUAGCGGUGAAAUGCGUAGAUAUCCGGAGGAACAUCAGUGGCGAAGGCGACUUGCUGGACUAAUACUGACGCUGAGGAGCGAAAGCGUGGGGAGCAAACGGGAUUAGAAACCCCAGUAGUCC